Molecule: unclassified non-coding RNA, 1079 nt
Filed under: Human gammaherpesvirus 8
Lineage: Duplodnaviria; Heunggongvirae; Peploviricota; Herviviricetes; Herpesvirales; Orthoherpesviridae
Description: T1.1
Source: RNAcentral
ACUGGGACUGCCCAGUCACCUUGGCUGCCGCUUCACCUAUGGAUUUUGUGCUCGCUGCUUGCCUUCUUGCCGCUUCUGGUUUUCAUUGGUGCCGCCGAUUGUGGGUUGAUUGCGUCGCUUUUGGCAAUAUACCCAUCCUGGCUUUCGGCUAGGUUUUCCGUCCUACUUUUCCCACAUUGGCCUGAGAGCUGUAGUACAAAAAACACCGCGCGGUCUGGAGCUCUCCAUAAGCCCGCAGAACAAAAGCUGCGAUUUGCCCAAAAACCUUGCCAUGGCAACUAUACAGUCACCCCUUGCGGGUUAUUGCAUUGGAUUCAAUCUCCAGGCCAGUUGUAGCCCCCUUUUAUGAUAUGCGAGGAUACUUAACGUGUCUGAAUGUGGAAUAUAAUGUGAAAGGAAAGCAGCGCCCACUGGUGUAUCAGAAUAGUGGUGCACUACCUAUCUGCUCAUUCGUUGUUUCGGUUCUGUGUUUGUCUGAUUCUUAGAUAGUGUUGAGGUAAUUCUCGAAAGCGGAUUGAGUGUAAAACGGGCCACUUUGCCCUAAAUGUGACAAUCUGGAUGUGUAUCUUAUUGGUGGGUUGUGAAGCAUUUUAAAAAUGCGUUUUAGAUUGUAUCAGGCUAGUGCUGUAAUGGUGUGUUUAUUUCUCCAGUGUAAGCAAGUCGAUUUGAAUGACAUAGGCGACAAAGUGAGGUGGCAUUUGUCAGAAGUUUCAAAGACGUGUAAGAACAUUGGACUAAAGUGGUGUGCGGCAGCUGGGAGCGCUCUUUCAAUGUUAAUGUUUUAAUGUGUAUUUUGUGUUGGAAGUUCCAGGCUAAUAUUUGAUGUUUUGCUAGGUUGACUAACGAUGUUUUUUUUGUAGGUGAAAGCGUUGUGUAACAAUGAUAACGGUGUUUUGUCUGGGUUUUUCCUUGUUCGCACCGGACACCUCCAGUGACCAGACGGCAAGGUUUUUAUCCCAGUGUAUAUUGGAAAAACAUGUUAUACUUUUGACAAUUUAACGUGCCAAUAGCUCAAAUUAAACUAAUACUAUAACGUAAUGCAACUUACAACAUAAAUAAAGGUCAAUGUUUAAUCCAUA